CGUAGGUGAACCUGCGGAAGGAUCAUUAACAAAUCCUAGCCGUUGUUGCCUCCGACGGUGGCGACGGUGAAACACCGUGCACUGGAGACCGGAGGAUGGGAGUCCCGGUUCGGUUUACGAGAGGUGUGCAGCCGGCGCAUGCUCGAGCGGGUGCCGCACUUAAAUCGAUGGAGAUUCCGACGUGACACCGCUCACCGGGCCUCAAACCGAACCAUCCCGCCUUUGGUUUUUUGUCUUUGAACCUGUCGGACUUUUUUUUUGUUUUUGGUAGAUUUGUACGUGUGGCAAAAAACUGACAACUUCUGACGGUGGAUCUCUUGGCUCGUGCAUCGAUGAAGAACGCAGCAAGCUGCGAUAUCUAGUGUGAAUUGCAGAAUUCAGUGAAUCAUCGAGUCUUUGAACGCAAAUGGCGCUCCCGGGGUCUCCUCGGGAGCAGGUCUGUCCGAGCGUCUGCCAACCGAAAGGGUCGUGUCCACAUGGUCGACUAGAUUUGAGUGGGUUC
Molecule: unclassified non-coding RNA, 502 nt
Filed under: Luffariella cylindrica
Lineage: Eukaryota; Metazoa; Porifera; Demospongiae; Dictyoceratida; Thorectidae
Description: sequence contains ITS1, 5.8S rRNA gene, ITS2
Rfam family: 5.8S ribosomal RNA (bases 298-452)
Source: RNAcentral